UGAGUAACGCGUAUGCAACUUGCCUAUCAGAGGGGGAUAACCCGGCGAAAGUCGGACUAAUACCGCAUGAAGCAGGGAUCCCGCAUGGGAAUAUUUGCUAAAGAUUCAUCGCUGAUAGAUAGGCAUGCGUUCCAUUAGGCAGUUGGCGGGGUAACGGCCCACCAAACCGACGAUGGAUAGGGGUUCUGAGAGGAAGGUCCCCCACAUUGGUACUGAGACACGGUCCAA
This 228-nucleotide ribosomal RNA is filed under the name uncultured bacterium. RNAcentral describes it as "partial 16S ribosomal RNA". It matches the Rfam family "Bacterial small subunit ribosomal RNA", at positions 107 to 334 of the family's 1533-position model. The record is from RNAcentral.